RNAcentral lists this ribosomal RNA (301 nucleotides) under uncultured bacterium. RNAcentral's name for it is "partial 16S ribosomal RNA". It matches the Rfam family "Bacterial small subunit ribosomal RNA", at positions 509 to 807 of the family's 1533-position model. The record is from RNAcentral.
CAGUCGCCACGGUAAUACAUAGGUGGCAAGCGUUGUCCGGAAUUAUUGGGCGUAAAGGGCUCGCAGGCGGUUUCUUAAGUCUGAUGUGAAAGCCCCCGGUUCAACCGGGGAGGGUCAUUGGAAACUGGGAAACUUGAGUGCAGAAGAGGAGAGUGGAAUUCCACGUGUAGCGGUGAAAUGCGUAGAGAUGUGGAGGAACACCAGUGGCGAAGGCGACUCUCUGGUCUGUAACUGACGCUGAGGAGCGAAAGCGUGGGGAGCGAACAGGAUUAGAUACCCGUGUAGUCCCUGUCUCUUAUAC